GAUGAACGCUGGCGGCGUGCCUAAUACAUGCAAGUCGAGCGAACGGACGAGAAGCUUGCUUCUCUGAUGUUAGCGGCGGACGGGUGAGUAACACGUGGAUAACCUACCUAUAAGACUGGGAUAACUUCGGGAAACCGGAGCUAAUACCGGAUAAUAUUUUGAACCGCAUGGUUCAAAAGUGAAAGACGGUCUUGCUGUCACUUAUAGACGGAUCCGCGCUGCAUUAGCUAGUUGGUAAGGUAACGGCUUACCAAGGCAACGAUGCAUAGCCGACCUGAGAGGGUGAACGGCCACACUGGAACUGAGACACGGUCCAGACUCCUACGGGAGGCAGCAGUAGGGAAGCGUCCGCAAUGGGCGGAAGCCUGACGGAGCAAUGCCAGGUGGGUGAUGAAAGUCUUCGGGUCGUAAAACUCUGUUAUUAGGGAAGAACAUAUGUGUAAAUAACUGAGCACAUCGUGACGGUAGCUAAUCAGAAAGCCACGGCUAACUACGUG
This 497-nucleotide ribosomal RNA is filed under the name uncultured bacterium. Its description in RNAcentral is "partial 16S ribosomal RNA". It matches the Rfam family "Bacterial small subunit ribosomal RNA", at positions 28 to 507 of the family's 1533-position model. The record is from RNAcentral.